This 270-nucleotide ribosomal RNA is filed under the name uncultured bacterium. RNAcentral describes it as "partial 16S ribosomal RNA". It matches the Rfam family "Bacterial small subunit ribosomal RNA", at positions 335 to 596 of the family's 1533-position model. The record is from RNAcentral.
ACUCCUACGGGAGGCAGCAGUGGGGAAUAUUGCACAAUGGGCGCAAGCCUGAUGCAGCCAUGCCGCGUGUGUGAAGAAGGCCUCGGGUUGUAAAUGCACUUUCAGUUGUGAGGAAGGUGGUGUCGUUAAUAGCGGCAUCAUUUGACGUUAGCAACAGAAGAAGCACCGGCUAACUCCGUGCCAGCAGCCGCGGUAAUACGGAGGGUGCGAGCGUUAAUCGGAAUUACUGGGCGUAAACGCGCAUGCAGGUGGUUUGUUAAGUCAGAUGUG